GACGAACGCUGGCGGCAGGCUUAACACAUGCAAGUCGAACGGGCGUAGCAAUACGUCAGUGGCAGACGGGUGAGUAACACGUGGGAACGUACCUUUUGGUUCGGAACAACACAGGGAAACUUGUGCUAAUACCGAAUAAGCCCUUACGGGGAAGAUUAUCGCCGAAAGAUCGGCCCGCGUCUGAUUAGCUAGUUGGUGAGGUAAUGGCUCACCAAGGCGACGAUCAGUAGCUGGUCUGAGAGGAUGAUCAGCCACACUGGGACUGAGACACGGCCCAGACUCCUACGGGAGGCAGCAGUGGGGAAUAUUGGACAAUGGGCGCAAGCCUGAUCCAGCCAUGCCGCGUGAGUGAUGAAGGCCCUAGGGUUGUAAAGCUCUUUUGUGCGGGAAGAUAAUGACGGUACCGCAAGAAUAAGCCCCGGCUAACUUCGUGCCAGCAGCCGCGGUAAGGAUGAGACGU
RNAcentral lists this ribosomal RNA (460 nucleotides) under uncultured bacterium. RNAcentral's name for it is "bacterial SSU rRNA". It matches the Rfam family "Bacterial small subunit ribosomal RNA", at positions 28 to 533 of the family's 1533-position model. The record is from RNAcentral.